ACUGAGGUGGCGACCGGCGGCACGGGUGAGUAACACGUAUGCAACCUGCCUGUAAGCGGGGAAUAACCCGUUGAAAGACGGACUAAUACCGCAUAAUACUAAAUUACUGCAUGGUAAUUUAUUUAAACAUUUAUGGCUUACAGAUGGGCAUGCGCAUGAUUAGCUAGUUGGAGAGGUAACGGCUCCCCAAGGCAACGAUCAUUAGGGGUUCUGAGAGGAAGGUCCCCCCACACUGGUACUGAGACACGGACCAGACUCCUACGGGAGGCAGCAGUGAGGAAUAUUGGUCAAUGGACGAGAGUCUGAACCAGCCAAGUCGCGUGCAGGAAGAAUUGUCCUAUGGAUUGUAAACUGCUUUUUGCAGGGGAAUAAAGUGCAUCACGUGUGAUGUUUUGUAUGUACUCUGCGAAUAAGGAUCGGCUAACUCCGUGCCAGCCGCGGC
This 442-nucleotide ribosomal RNA is filed under the name uncultured bacterium. RNAcentral describes it as "bacterial SSU rRNA". It matches the Rfam family "Bacterial small subunit ribosomal RNA", at positions 82 to 518 of the family's 1533-position model. The record is from RNAcentral.